GACAUCCAAGACCACUAACCGAUUCAUGAUAUUUCAUAAAUUUCAAAUAUGACCUAUUCAUCCCAUGUUUCUUAAGCGAAUAGCAUGGUUGUUAGUGCAAGCAUGAACCAACUUUAUUACCAAGAGAAAAUAACUCAACAAUAGUUGAAAAAAAGUUUACUCCAUAUAUGUAGAGAAACUAAAGAACUAGGGCAAGACAAAGUGGGAACAUUAUCUAUGAAAUGAAGUUGAUUGUUGUAUACAACCUGAGAUUGCAA
This 257-nucleotide unclassified non-coding RNA is filed under the name Hevea brasiliensis (rubber tree). Lineage: Eukaryota; Viridiplantae; Streptophyta; Magnoliopsida; Malpighiales; Euphorbiaceae. The record is from RNAcentral.